This 405-nucleotide ribosomal RNA is filed under the name uncultured bacterium. Its description in RNAcentral is "partial 16S ribosomal RNA". It matches the Rfam family "Bacterial small subunit ribosomal RNA", at positions 30 to 526 of the family's 1533-position model. The record is from RNAcentral.
AUUGAACGCUAGCGGGAUGCUUUACACAUGCAAGUCGAACGAGUGGCGGACGGGUGAGUAAUAUAUCGGAACGUGCCCAGUAGCGGGGGAUAACUACUCGAAAGAGUGGCUAAUAACGAAUACUAUUGGAGCGGCCGAUAUCGGAUUAGCUAGGUGUUGGGGUAAAGGCUCACCAAGGCAACGAUCCGUAGCUGGUUUGAGAGGACGACCACCCACCCUGGGACUGAGUCACGGCCCAGGCGCCUGCGCGAGCUAGCAGUGGGGAAUUUUGGACAAUGGGGGAAACCCUGAUCCAGCCAUCCCGCGUGUAUGAGAAGGCCUUCGGGUUGUAUAGUACUUUUGGCAUAGAAGCGGUAUCUGCAGAAUAAGCACCGGCUAACUACGUGCCAGCAGCCGCGGUAAUUC